AGCGAACGCUGGCGGCGUGCCUAACACAUGCAAGUCGAGCGCGGGCAUUUCGGGGGUAACCCCGGGAUGUGCUGAGCGGCGGACGAGUGAGUAAUACGUGGACAACCUGCCUUAAAGCUUGGGAUAACUCCGGGAAACUGGAGCUAAUACCGGAUAAGACCACGGUGUCUAUGGAUGCUGAGGUAAAAGGCGGCCAGGAAACUGGCUGUUGCUUAAAGAUGGGUCCACGUCCCAUCAGGUAGUUGGUGAGGUAAAGGCUCACCAAGCCAAAGACGGGUAGCUGGCCUUAGCGGGUGGUCAGCCACACGGGGACUGAGACACGGGCCCCGACUCCUACGGGAGGCAGCGAGUGGGGAAUAUUGGGCAAUGGGC
This 372-nucleotide ribosomal RNA is filed under the name uncultured bacterium. Its description in RNAcentral is "bacterial SSU rRNA". It matches the Rfam family "Bacterial small subunit ribosomal RNA", at positions 29 to 376 of the family's 1533-position model. The record is from RNAcentral.